AGCGAACGUUAGCGGCGGGCCUAACACAUGCAAGUCGAACGCGAAAGGUCUUCGGACUGAGUAGAGUGGCGCACGGGUGAGUAACACGUAGGUAAUCUACCCUUUGGCGGGGGAUAACGUUCCGAAAGGAGCGCUAAUACCGCAUAAGACCACGUGGUCUCCGGACCGAGUGGGAAAAGGUGGCCUCUUCUUGAAAGCUACCACCGAAGGAUGAGCCUGCGUCCCAUCAGCUAGUUGGUAAGGUAAUGGCUUACCAAGGCAAAGACGGGUAGCUGGUUUGAGAGAAUGAUCAGCCACACUGGCACUGGAACACGGGCCAGACUCCCACGGGAGGCAGCAGUGAGGAAUAUUGGGCAAUGGGCGAAAGCCUGACCCAGCCACGCCGCGUGAGUGAUGAAGGCCCUCGGGUCGUAAAGCUCUGUGGAGAGGGACGAAAACCCUAGGUUUCAAAUAGGCUCCAGGCUUGACGGUACCUCUUUAGCAAGCACCGGCUAACUCUGUGCCAGCAGCCG
RNAcentral lists this ribosomal RNA (512 nucleotides) under uncultured bacterium. Its description in RNAcentral is "bacterial SSU rRNA". It matches the Rfam family "Bacterial small subunit ribosomal RNA", at positions 29 to 517 of the family's 1533-position model. The record is from RNAcentral.